This is a non-coding RNA of Prunus avium (sweet cherry), 872 nucleotides long. NCBI's taxonomy places the organism in Eukaryota, Viridiplantae, Streptophyta, Magnoliopsida, Rosales, Rosaceae. The record is from RefSeq and is a predicted model, not a curated record.
UCAUUCAUACAUACUGAUUGAGAGAAAACCUCUCAAGAACCACCUAGCUAAUCUGUAUAUAAAGGGAUCAAGAAACACUCAUGGGAGUGUAGAACUAUAGGGGCUUGUCCUUGUAAAACUCUGCAGCAUCUUUUUGGCAUCAAGACUAAUUAAAAGAGUAUAUUUGGAAAACCAUCAUGUCAGAAACAUUAAGUACCAUAUUUGAAGAAUCCUCCGCCUCCUCCUCAACCCUAGAAAACUUCCAAGAGGAAGGCGCCCAACAGCUGCAUGAGGCAUAUAUAUGUGAGCUUUGAGAGCUGCACUGAUGGAAAAUCAAACUCGGAAAUUAAUGCAUCAAACCCUCCAUUGCCACCAGGCCUUACAAAACUGAACACAACAAUUAGACUGGGAUUGUACUCUAAAAUGAAAUUUUGUAACAAAGAAAACACCAUCACAAGCGAUAUAGAUCCUGCAGAAACUACACCCAGCAAGAAUGACCCUAAUUCGUCCCGGAGCUUCAAUAAGUCUAUUAAUUUUUCUCGCUUCACGUCUUUCUUUCGCCCGAAUGCCACAUCACCGUCAACGACAACAUCUGAUCAUGAUCAUCAUGAUAUUCAUGAUGAUCAAAAUGAGAUGUUUGCCUUACGUGAGAGGGUUGCUGCUACAGAGAUUCUUGUGGAAAAGCAGCAACUGGAGAUUGAUACUCUACGCCAGGAGGCCACGGAAACAAGAAGUAUGUUGCAAGAGUUAAGGACUCAAAUGGAACAAAUUGUUGAGUCUCAAGCACCAGCUCUGCCACUGCCAGAGGUUGCGGCUUGUGACCUUGUUGAUUUAUUGUCGUUUUUAUUUGGGAAUUUUGUAUUUUUCUUAUCUAACCAGAUAUCUUUAACUUA